AGCAGCCGCGGUAAUUCCAGCUCCAAUAGCGUAUAUUAAAGUUGUUGCAGUUAAAAAGCUCGUAGUUGAAUUUCGGGAUCAAUGUUUCGGUCAUGCCGUUGGUAUGUACUGAUAUUAUUGGUUUCUCACCUUCUAAAGAACCGUAAUGCCAUUAAUUUGGUGUCACGGGGAAUUAGGACUGUUACCUUGAAAAAAUUAGAGUGUUUAAAGCAGGCUUACGCUUGAAUACAUUAGCAUGGAAUAAUGAAAUAGGACAUCCGAUUCUAUUUUGUUGGUUUCUAGGAUCGAUGUAAUGAUUAAUAGGGAUAGUUGGGGGCAUUAGUAUUCAAUUGUCAGAGGUGAAAUUCUUGGAUUUAUUGAAGACUAACUACUGCGAAAGCAUUUGCCAAGGAUGUUUUCAUUAAUCAAGAACGAAAGUUAGGGGAUCGAAGACGAUCAGAUACCGUCGUAGUCUUAACCAUAAACUAUGCCGACUAGGGAUCGGAUGAUGUUAAUUUUUUAAUGACUCGUUUGGCACCUU
Molecule: ribosomal RNA, 520 nt
Filed under: uncultured Glomus
Lineage: Eukaryota; Fungi; Glomeromycota; Glomeromycetes; Glomerales; Glomeraceae
Description: SSU rRNA
Rfam family: Eukaryotic small subunit ribosomal RNA
Source: RNAcentral